This 424-nucleotide long non-coding RNA is filed under the name Takifugu rubripes (torafugu). RNAcentral describes it as "lncRNA (ENSTRUG00000032459.1)". Lineage: Eukaryota; Metazoa; Chordata; Actinopteri; Tetraodontiformes; Tetraodontidae. The record is from RNAcentral.
AGCCGCAGCUCCGGCCAAUCCAAGUGACCGUUGUGUCUGUGGCAGAGUUACAACAUCAGCCAUAAUGUGAAGUGGGACCAUGGCUGGCCUGCUAUUCCCAGCCUGGGCAGCCCCCUGUCAGCCUCCUGACAGUUCCAGCUGUUUCAGACUGUUCAGUGCGUGUCCGUGUGUGAGAAGUGGAAAAGGCUCAGUGGGACUCUUUGACGACCUCAUUCAUCCCCCCCCCCCCCCCGCUACUGCCUUCGGCCUGGACACAGUCGACAUGCCCAACAAUGAGACUGGAGGCCUGCUCCUUCACUACAGUGUUUUUGAUCGGCCCGGCCAGCUUCCGCUGGCAAGACAACCAACCAAAGCAGCCACUUUUUCCUCCCCCGUCACCCCCGUCCUGUCCCCCUCCUUUUCCCACUAUGGGUUCAGCGACUGA